AUUGAACGCUGGCGGCAGGCCUAACACAUGCAAGUCGAGCGAGCGGCGGACGGGUGGGUAAUGUAUGGGGACUGCCCGAUAGAGGGGGAUGACUGCUGGAAACGGUGGCUAAUACCGCAUACUAUCGGAUAACCCAUAGGGGAUUAGCUAGUAGGUGGGGUAAAGGCUCACCUGGGCGACGAUCUAUAGCUGGUCUGAGAGGAUGAUCAGCCACACUGGGACUGAGACACGGCCCAGACUCCGACGGAGGCAGCAGUGGGGAAUAUUGCACAAUGGGCUAAAGCCUGACGCAGCCAUGCCGCGUGAAUGAAGAAGGCCUUAGGGUUGUAAAGUACUUUCAGCGGGGAGGCGUUACCCGAAGAAGAAGCACCGGCUAACUCCGUGCCAGCAGCCGCGGUAAUUC
This 403-nucleotide ribosomal RNA is filed under the name uncultured bacterium. Its description in RNAcentral is "partial 16S ribosomal RNA". It matches the Rfam family "Bacterial small subunit ribosomal RNA", at positions 30 to 526 of the family's 1533-position model. The record is from RNAcentral.